CGGACGACGCUGGCGGCGUGGAUUAGGCAUGCAAGUCGAACGGUAUCAUCCGUUUCGGGGGUGAGAGAGUGGCGAACUGGUGAGUAACACGUAGGAAUCUACCCUUAAGACGGGACAACCAGGGAAACUUGGGCUAAUACCGGAUGAGAGUGCGAGAGAUUGCAUUUAAAAGGAUGGCGAAAGUUGUCGCUUAGGGAUGAGCCUGCGGUCUAUUAGUUAGUUGGUGAGGUAAGAGCUCACCAAGGCGAUGAUAGAUAGGCGGCCUUAACGGGUGGUCGCCCACACUGGGAUUGAGAUACGGCCCAGACUCCUACGGGAGGCAGCAGUCGAGAAUAGUCUACAAUGGCCGGAAGGCUGAUAGUGCGACGCCGCGUGAACGAGGGAGCCCUUCGGGGUGUAAAGUUCUUUUCUAUACGAGCAGUGCUAUAUAUAUGGAUAGUAUAUAUAGAGGGAUAGUAGUAUAGGAAUAAGCAACGGCUAACUCCGUG
RNAcentral lists this ribosomal RNA (488 nucleotides) under uncultured bacterium. RNAcentral's name for it is "bacterial SSU rRNA". It matches the Rfam family "Bacterial small subunit ribosomal RNA", at positions 33 to 507 of the family's 1533-position model. The record is from RNAcentral.